This 74-nucleotide transfer RNA is filed under the name Pseudomonas sp. FeN3W. RNAcentral's name for it is "tRNA-Asp". It matches the Rfam family "tRNA". From Rfam's summary of the family: Transfer RNA (tRNA) molecules are approximately 80 nucleotides in length. Lineage: Bacteria; Pseudomonadati; Pseudomonadota; Gammaproteobacteria; Pseudomonadales; Pseudomonadaceae. The record is from RNAcentral.
GGCUCGGUCGUCUAAUGGCAGGACACCGGACUGUCUAUCCGAGAGUGGGGGUUCGAUUCCCCUCCGAGCCGCCA